RNAcentral lists this ribosomal RNA (109 nucleotides) under Acanthosepion pharaonis. The record is from RNAcentral. Lineage: Eukaryota; Metazoa; Mollusca; Cephalopoda; Sepiida; Sepiidae.
AUAUCAUAAGGAUUUGUCACCGGUUCCUGUACGAUCACCGAAGUUAAGCAACGUCGAGUCUGUUCAGUACCUAGAUGGGUGACCUCUUGGGAAUACUAGGUGCUGUAAG